Molecule: non-coding RNA, 8198 nt
Organism: Rattus norvegicus (Norway rat)
Lineage: Eukaryota; Metazoa; Chordata; Mammalia; Rodentia; Muridae
Source: RefSeq, a predicted model, not a curated record
UGUCACUUGGGAAGCUCUUAGAGCUAGAAGAUGGGGGAGGGGCAGAGUGAAGAGGAGAGAGGAAGAAAAGAAAGGGGGAGGGGAGAAGGAGGAGCUCUCCACCAGAAUGCCUAGCGUUCUAUGCUGGAUGAAAGUACUGGACAUGUGCUCCACUGUCCCAGAGGCUCAGGUGGUGACUGCCCCUUAGGGGACAGAGGGAUAGGACAGAGGCUAAGGGGGGAGAAGCUUUGGGUGUCUCCCCUAAAGUGUGGUCAGACUCCUCUGUUUCUUAGUCCCUUUAAGAUCACCAUAAUAAAAUACCCAAACCAGGGUGGUUUGUUGACAGCUGACAUUCAUGGCUCAAGCACUGGAAGCUGGGAGGGAUGGAACAACCAUGAUUUUAACCAAAAACACUUACAGAAGGUCUUGCCUCCACCAGACGUGCUUGAGCAGAGCUGCUCUUCCAGAGGGGUUCCUAUGCCCAGGACCAGGAGAGGACCCCAUCCCAACAUGGGGCAUGCUACACCAGCCACAGAGCAGACCAUGACCUUUCUCCAAGCCAUAGCAAGAAGGGCCUGCUCUGAGGUGGGAGCUAAAGAAGGGCUUCUGGGUGUGCCCUGGUGAGGACAACUGCUCACCUCAACCCAACUCAGGACUCAGUGCCAGCUGUGUGUCAGCGACUCUGCUAAGUGCCAGAGGGAGACAAUGCAGUUUCUUUCCUUGUGUAGUUAGAGUCUACUGAGGGUUCACCGGUGGGUCAGGGUUUCUCCCAAGCUGUGAGCACAGCCAGGUGAAGGCAGGGGCAAGCAAGGCUCCUUCCUAUCUCACUCAUCUCUCCGAGGAAACAAUAGUCAUCCCCUUGAAUACUCAGGCAAGGGCUAAGAGGUGUGUGCGUGAGAUUUCCGAACCUGUUGAAGAUUCAGACUGUGGGGCUCUGUAAGUGGGCCUGACUGCUCGUUCACUAACUAACUUGGCUAAAGCUAGGCUCUGGCCUGAGUGUGUGGUACCUGUGUAGUACUGAUGUAUAGUGCUGACAUGAAGUAUUGACAUGUAGUGAUGGCAUGUAGUGCUGACAUGUAGACUGUAAAAUCUACAUGGGCUUCACUAGCUUUCCUUUUGACAUUUUUUAUUUUUUGAGUACAGUUCUCUUGUAGCUCAGGCUGCCUCUAACUUGCUAUGUAGCUAAGGCCUACCCUUCAUUUUUUAUCCUUCCGCCUUCACAUCCUGAGUCCUGGAGUUAUCAUCACCACACCUGUUGUUAGUUUGUUUUCUCCUGUUUUUCUCAAUUCAGUCUCCCUGUUGAUCAUUUCUCUGUCCUUCUUACCCCUACCUACCCUGCUCCCUCCCUCCUGCCCUCCUUCCCUCAGCACUGGAAUCCAUGGCAAAUGACUGGAUUCUAGGUUUAGGGAAUAUUCAAUGUUCACAAGGCAUGAUGCUAGCUGACCUGAGAUUUGGAGACCAGGAACACAGGGCAUUCCCUUAAGAAUUGUCAAACUAGUUUGGGAUUCAUAAAGUGCUUUGGUGGAAGACAGGUGCUUCUUAGGGGAACGUGUUAGGGGAUGGGGUUGCAGGGAACAGGAGAGUGGGUGCAGUGCCUGAGUGUGGGAAUGCCGGUGCUGCGGUGCGCAUGGCGUGCCCAGGUUGUGUCAGAAGCCUCCAAGGCUAACACAAGGGAUCACUGAAGAGCCUUUCCCCAGAUUUACCCAUUAUUUAUGCUUCCGAAAACGUCUGAGGAAAAGUUAGACACCUUGACCUUUUCGCUUUAAUUACUUCGGGGGAUAUUUUCAAGGAUCUUCUUUAAUACAGUUUGCUUUCCUUUCGGUUAAGCCUUAUCCCAGACACUGGUGGGCUAUUCUAGGUUGUAAAUAAAGCUUACGUUGUGGGAGUCAGCUAGGCUAUCCUUUUGUAUGAUGAUGCUGUGCUGGUGUGCUGGCCACUGGUGGAUGCCUAAUCCCUAAGUCUUGUCAGAACUGUGUUGACCUCAGGAGUCCUGCUUGAGUUUGUUUUCUGAUGGACAGCUGGUCUGUGUUCUUAGGGACCUGGCUGGGCCUCUGUUACAUUUUGUUUCCCUCCACUUUGUUCUAGAAUUUUCUGUGCAUUUUCCCAGCCAUAGAUGUGACUGUCGUAUGGUAUUGGCUUGCCAGUGUCUAGCAUGGUAUGUGGGCUACAGAAUCAGUUUGGUUGGGCACCAUCUGUGCCUUGGAGGGCAGAAUGGGGUCCUUAGCUAACAACGAAGGUUCCCCAUAUCCGUCUUGCCAGGAAGAUUGAGGCUCUGUGGCGGUCUGGCUCAUUGUCCUGUGGUCCUGCUCAAGACUGGAAGUCUAAGGCAAAGGAAACAUUUUCCAGAGCACAGCUGAGGGACAGAAUGUCUCAAGGAGAUGGGCUGGGUUGGGCUGGGCUGGGCUAGGCAGGGCCGGGCUGAGCUGGGCUGGGCAAGCAGGGUUUUGGAAACCCCCUGCUUGUUCUGGGAGCUGUUCAGAACACUGAGGUUUUGGAAAGCCAUGGCGGCUUGUCACAACUGUUGCUGCUUUGAGGAGGAGGUGGAAUGGCCUGGUGCCUAAUGCCUUGGGUUGAGUGGGAAAGGUGAAGUCCAGCCUUGCCAGCCUGGGACCUGGGCCUCUGCUGGGCCUGGGGGAACACUGGACUUUGAAGAGGAAUAGAGCCCUCAGGCCGAGGCCUCUGAAUGGUGAGAGUGUUGCCGUGGCCAACCAUGCCUGAGGUUUGUUUGGUAGGCAGUGGACUUGACACAGCCAUGAAACUUUCCGGCCUGGUCUCAAAGACACCCCUGAUGGAGCUGGCAGGGGAACCCCCAGAGGACCCAUGAACAGAACACGCCAGAGUACAGGACGAGGAGAGGUCAGGGUUUUAUAAGACACUUGGUCCAGGACUUUAAAGUCAGGGAGGGCUUAGGCUUGAGGAAGGCCGGAGCCUCCUUCUCUAGUAGCUUCUACACUCUUCUGCCCUGCUUUUGACACAACCAGAAUGCCCAGGGUCUGGUGCCAGCCCUGCUCUGUGAUCAAGGGCCAGCCAGUUCACCUCUGUAAACUGUCUUCUCACCCCUGAACUGGGGUGGAGCACUGGGCCCCUUUAGCAGCUGCUCUCAGAGAGCUUCCGAGGGCUCGGAGAACAAGAAAAUACACACAGAUGACCAGACUACCACUUCACUUCAAAAAUAAUUUUGUUUAUUCUUACUGUGGGCUGGGGAGAGUGUUUGACUGGGAAUCACACACAGGUGGAGGUCUCUCCUUCCACGUUUAAUAAGAAUUACAUGGAUUGAGCAGAGAGGUCUCCAGAUUUAAAAGCAAGCGCUUUCAUCCCCUGAGAUGUCUCUAGAUUUGAUAAGGGCACGGUGGACCCAGGCAAGUUCCCCACAACAUUCCUCGAGGGGCGGCCCUGACUUUUAACUACAGACUCAUUCUUCUUGGUGUCAUGGAGGGCCUGACACAAGUAGGGCUCUAGGCUGAGCAGGCAAGUCCAUCUAAGCUCUCCUACAAGCCAUCAGAGGCACGUGCCACUCCCAGUUCCAUAGCUCCAGCUCCCCCCAACCCCGACAGAAACCUCGAGGCUUUCAGGGUCCGGCAGCCUGCAGAAGGGACCCUGCAUCCUGCCCACCCUGGCUCCUGGACGCCCUGAUCCCUUUGGGGGGUUCUGGAGAAGAGGGAACUCGGGUCUCCUUGCUGCGGUCCGUUCUCCCAUGGCACUGACGUUGCCCUGCGGCCCAGCUGGCUGCAGUUUUUCCGCAAUAACAAUAUCCCGGGGAGGGAGGAGCGGCGGGGUGAAUGGGCGCCUUUGUCCCCGACUCGGUGAAGGCCGAUUAAUUAUGCGCCGCGGAGCGCGGGAGCGCGGCUGUCCGGCCCCCUGCGCGCCCUGAAAGGCCUGGGCUUGGGAGCGCGGCCGCCGGCUCCGCGCCGACGCACAAAGGGCCGCGCAUUAGCAGCCCAGCAAUUACCCAGCGUUUUGGAUGUGUCCUUGUCUCGCUGACACUGCGCCGCCCCUCCCCGGGCGGCUGCACUUUGAGGAUUUGCAAGUCCUUUCUUGGUUGCUAGGGGCGACUAGGCAGAGGGGUUGGGAGCUUGGAGUUGGGGUGGGUGGGGGAUGCCAGGCCUGCCCAGUUGGAAGUGUCCCGGGCCGAAGUGGGGGAGGGGUGAGUGGUUGUCACCCCUAGGGACCUGGACCUUAGGGGCUCUAAAGCUAGAAGCCUGGUCAGAGUGCAGAUUCCUGGGCCACACUCAGAGGACUUCUGUCUUCGUCGGUAUAGAGUGUCUUUUAAGCACCACAGACACAGUUUUUAAAAAGCUAGGGUGGAAUAGUCAAACAAAAUGUAUAAACUAAAGUUUGAAAAGCAUUGAAAUUUAUGAUUCUUUUGUGUGCACAAGUGGAUGGAGGUCAGAGGACCCCACUUGUAGGAGUCUGUUUUCACUUUCUACCGUGCGGGGCCUGGGAGAUAUUCAGGCUCAGCAGCAACAGAAGGCUGGUGAACCUUCUCGAAGGCCUUUCUCACACAGCUCCCCUGUGUGACUUUUGCCACAUACGUGCCCUGUGUCAUCCGCAACACAUUGACGGACAAUCACCAGUCCAGAACACUCCCUGAAUCCUCCUACGAGCCCCACCCUCCCAGGUUCUCCGGAGGGUGACACAUCCCUUAAAUUUCAUGUAGCUGUGGAUCGAAGACCCACGGGAGCCUGCAGCGUGUGCUGCUUCAUCUCCGACUUCUCACUGAAAUCCGGACGGCGUAUAUGCAGAGUUGGUUUCCUUAAAACAGCUCACCUGCAGGUUAGUGGACACUGAGACCGCGUACAAAUUGUGGUCGUUGUAAGAAAAGCCACUGUGAUCAUUUUGUACACAUAUUUUCAUGUGUGUCUUUUGGGUCAAUACCUAGAAGUGCAGUCGCUGGGUCACCGGGCAGGCUUGUAAGAGAAAGCAGCUGGCUUCCUUUCUUUAGCAUCUAUACUCUGUGCGCCUCACAGCGCAUGGGAAGUGUAUCGGCGUUCCAGUUACUCUACAUCCGGGUCAGCACUUGGCAUUGUCAAUGGUUUUGAGUUCAGCUGUUCUAACUGUUGUGACACGGAAUCUCACUGUAGGUUUGUUUGUUUGUUUGUUUGUGUUUGCUUUUAGGAGAGCAGGUGAUUUUAAUACCUGAGCUCCAAAGACUCUGUAUGUGACUGUGGUUGCUAACUUUUCACCAGCCACAGACAAAUCCUGCCUGUAUCCUUCUCCCUCACCCCCACAAUGAAUUGUGUGGUUGUCAUUGCUGCUGCUGUUGUCUCUGAGUGCGGUGCUGGGAAUCGAACCCAGGACUUUGCUCAUGCCAGAACCCGGGACCACCAGCCCAGGGAUGGCCCCACCCACAGUGUGCUGGGCCUUCCCCCACAGAUCACAGCUGUACAGCCAGAGCUUGUGGAGACAUUUCUCUCUCCCCUCUGAUGAUGCUAGUUUGUGUUAAGUUGACACACGAAACCAGCCAGAGCAACCAGAGUGGUUCAUAGUACAACUGCUCUGUUUCGUUUUACUCCAACCAUUCCAUUCCUGUUGUUGUUGCUGCUUUCCCAGACAAGGUUUCUCAGUGGCUUUCCCAGGCAUGCCUGGCUGUCCUAAAACUCAUUCUGUAGAUGAACCAGGCUGGCUCCGAGAUCUAUCCACCUUUAUAUCCAGAGUGCCGAGAUUAAAGGUGUGUGCUACCACCUCCAGACUUCACUCCAAACUGAAGAGAUGGCCGGAACAGGCAGGACAGUCCUCAAGAAGUCACCCAGGAUGGAGAGGGCUGUCACCGAAGACAAGAGCAGUCAUUCACCUCUAAAGCACUGUGCAGAGGCCGUCAGGUAUGAGUAAUGAAGUGAAACAAAAGAAACAGUAUUGCCUUGAGUAUUGUGUGUGCCUGUGUGUGUGUGUGUGCAUGCACACGUGCACAUGUGUGUACAGGCAUGUGCAUGCGUGUCUGUCUACAUACCACAUCACACAUGUGAAGGAGAGAAGAACCUCAGGUGGGAGCCUCAUUUCUACCUUGCAUCAGGCAGUGUCUCUCAUUCAGUGCACACACCAGGCUCGCUGGCUUUUGCUGUGUACUGUGUUAUUGCCCCUGCCCCAAGAUUCUUCAUCUCCAGACGUAGAAUGUUGACCCGAGGUAGAGCCUGGGAAAUGCUCGCAUGUUUGCUUUAAUGGGAAUGCUCUAGUGAGGAGAGAUGUGUUGCUCCUUAGACCUGCCACGGCGGCUGCCUUUACAGGGGCUCAGUUGUUCAAUUCCCCCCUGGAAAUUUAAUAACUACGUUAUUAUGGUUUGUCAGGUUGAUUUCUAUGGCUUGUGCUGUGAAGUGGGUUCGCGUGUUACUUCGUUACUUUGUGGUCCUCCCCUGCUGCUGCUCAGAAUAUGGUAUCUUCAUUGAGCGAGAGAAAUGAGCCCCCUUUCUGGGUGGGCAAACUGGAGAAAGCAGUGUUUUCCCUGGGGCAGACAUAGCCUCUCAUCAGGACAAAAGUGCCUGGCGGUGGAGGGUGAGGCUGGGGUGGUUUCAGGCCUCGCUCCAGUCCCGUCUGUGGUCAGGCCCCUCUGUGCAGGCACAGGCCACAUAACAUCACUCAUGGUGAUGGACCUGGACCGCAAGCCACUUGUUUCGUGGAUGAUUCGUCUUCUGUCUCAAAGCAGAGUCUCGUGUAGAGGUUGGCUUUGAUCCUCCUGCCUCAGCCUCCCAAGUGCUCCGUCAGAACCUUCUGGUGACCAACUUGCGGGCUUUAGAGCAGCAGUUCUCAACCUUCCUAAAGCUGUGGCCUUUUAACACAGUUCCUCAUGUUGUGGUGACCCCCAAGCAUAAAAUUACUUCAUUACUACUUUAUUACUCUAAUUCCGAAUCGUGGUGUACAUAUCUGAUAUGCAGGAUAUAUGGUGGCUUUAGAGGAAGCCUGCUCCUGAGCCCACUCCCAUGCCAGUGCUGGGCUGGAGCCCAUGGCCAAAUACAUGCUCAACAUGCACUCCAUCACAAUGCUCUACCCCUAGUCUGACAGACACCCUUCCCUCUCCCAUGGGAACAAAACUCACUGAGGGAGUACAGUCACGGUCUCUGGGGGUGACAAGGCGGGGCCUGUGGGCGAUGGUGACAGUAACUGGAAAUCACCCCCAGAGGACUGAUGACACAGGAAGAAAGACCAAGGAGGCAGAAUGCUGUGAGAACGGGUCUCACCACUUCUUUUCACAGCCAGGCAGCCACAGUCACCAGAGGAGGACUGUACCCUCAUGUGAGCCAUUCUGGUUUUCUGGGAGGAAGCCGGAUAGAUAUGAGUCAGCCAUGACUGUCUCAUUUCAGGGGACAUCAUGUAGGACAUCUGCAUCUGUAACUUCAGAAGGCUGUGUGGGACUUGGGUAUGACUCUUCGGGGUGCAUACCUAGUGUGUACAAAGUGUAGCCCAGCACCAGCGCUAGGAACUAAGAAGCCAUUUAAAGAUAGGAACCUGUAGCAAGGUAUAUUUGGGUUCCAAUCUCAGUUUUGUCCGUCUCUAGCUCUGUGGCCGGCGCAUAUUAACCUCUUAUUUGUUUGUUUACCUAGAUUAAUUUUAAGGACAGGUUCUCACUGUGCAGCUCUGGCUGGCCUCGAUCUCAGGAAGUGCUGAGACUAAAGGUGUGCACUCUCGUUGCACAGCUCGACACUGCCCAUAACUCCAGCCCCAGAGGAUCUGAUGCCAUAUUCUUGGGUUGGGCACACACAUAAAAGUGGUGCCCCUGCCCCCGCACAUAAACACACAUCACACAUAAUAAAAAAAAAAAAAAAGGAAAGAAACCAUGCCUUGCCUGUUCUCUUCUUUUCAACUUGGAUGUGGAUCUGGGUACACCAGAGGUUCUCUAAAUGUAGCUAAGUGACAUGGUGACUUCCAAUCUCAUGGGAAAGCUCACGUAGCUUCUGGUGGCUUCUGUUACGACAAUCACACUGGGAUUCUUCAAUUGCCACAGAAGAAAGCCACAGCCACCCAUCCUUGGUGGAGCCCCCAAUAUGUGAAUAGAGAAGCCCCAGAGUUUCUCCUGUCCCUGACUGCAAACUCAAGACCCUGGAGUGAGGCCAGCCCAGUCACUCCAACCCAUACCCAAGAGAGUUGGUUGCCAUUGCUCUAAGCCCCUGUUUGGGGAUACUGUGCUAGGGCACAAUGGACAAGCUAGAACAGACUCUCCAAUACCUGGAGGUAGACCUGCUUCCAUAGCAAAUCCUCAUUAUGGCUUUAGGGCUGGGAUGUGGGCAGCG